GCGCUUGCUUUGGCAGCACAUAUGCUAACACUGGAACAAUGCAGGGAAGAUUAGCAAGGCCCCUGGGCAAGAAUGGCACAUAAAUUCAUAAAGAUUCCAUAUUUUUUU
Small nuclear RNA from Cercocebus atys (sooty mangabey), 108 nucleotides. NCBI's taxonomy places the organism in Eukaryota, Metazoa, Chordata, Mammalia, Primates, Cercopithecidae. The record is from Ensembl.